This 2230-nucleotide ribosomal RNA is filed under the name Escherichia coli 1-392-07_S1_C2. Its description in RNAcentral is "bacterial LSU rRNA". It matches the Rfam family "Bacterial large subunit ribosomal RNA", at positions 716 to 2925 of the family's 2925-position model. Lineage: Bacteria; Pseudomonadati; Pseudomonadota; Gammaproteobacteria; Enterobacterales; Enterobacteriaceae. The record is from RNAcentral.
CGAAACCCGGUGAUCUAGCCAUGGGCAGGUUGAAGGUUGGGUAACACUAACUGGAGGACCGAACCGACUAAUGUUGAAAAAUUAGCGGAUGACUUGUGGCUGGGGGGGAAAGGCCAAUCAAACCGGGAGAUAGCUGGUUCUCCCCGAAAGCUAUUUAGGUAGCGCCUCGUGAAUUCAUCUCCGGGGGUAGAGCACUGUUUCGGCAAGGGGGUCAUCCCGACUUACCAACCCGAUGCAAACUGCGAAUACCGGAGAAUGUUAUCACGGGAGACACACGGCGGGUGCUAACGUCCGUCGUGAAGAGGGAAACAACCCAGACCGCCAGCUAAGGUCCCAAAGUCAUGGUUAAGUGGGAAACGAUGUGGGAAGGCCCAGACAGCCAGGAUGUUGGCUUAGAAGCAGCCAUCAUUUAAAGAAAGCGUAAUAGCUCACUGGUCGAGUCGGCCUGCGCGGAAGAUGUAACGGGGCUAAACCAUGCACCGAAGCUGCGGCAGCGACACUAUGUGUUGUUGGGUAGGGGAGCGUUCUGUAAGCCUGUGAAGGUGUGCUGUGAGGCAUGCUGGAGGUAUCAGAAGUGCGAAUGCUGACAUAAGUAACGAUAAAGCGGGUGAAAAGCCCGCUCGCCGGAAGACCAAGGGUUCCUGUCCAACGUUAAUCGGGGCAGGGUGAGUCGACCCCUAAGGCGAGGCCGAAAGGCGUAGUCGAUGGGAAACAGGUUAAUAUUCCUGUACUUGGUGUUACUGCGAAGGGGGGACGGAGAAGGCUAUGUUGGCCGGGCGACGGUUGUCCCGGUUUAAGCGUGUAGGCUGGUUUUCCAGGCAAAUCCGGAAAACUAAGGCUGAGGCGUGAUGACGAGGCACUACGGUGCUGAAGCAACAAAUGCCCUGCUUCCAGGAAAAGCCUCUAAGCAUCAGGUAACAUCAAAUCGUACCCCAAACCGACACAGGUGGUCAGGUAGAGAAUACCAAGGCGCUUGAGAGAACUCGGGUGAAGGAACUAGGCAAAAUGGUGCCGUAACUUCGGGAGAAGGCACGCUGAUAUGUAGGUGAAGCGACUUGCUCGUGGAGCUGAAAUCAGUCGAAGAUACCAGCUGGCUGCAACUGUUUAUUAAAAACACAGCACUGUGCAAACACGAAAGUGGACGUAUACGGUGUGACGCCUGCCCGGUGCCGGAAGGUUAAUUGAUGGGGUUAGCGCAAGCGAAGCUCUUGAUCGAAGCCCCGGUAAACGGCGGCCGUAACUAUAACGGUCCUAAGGUAGCGAAAUUCCUUGUCGGGUAAGUUCCGACCUGCACGAAUGGCGUAAUGAUGGCCAGGCUGUCUCCACCCGAGACUCAGUGAAAUUGAACUCGCUGUGAAGAUGCAGUGUACCCGCGGCAAGACGGAAAGACCCCGUGAACCUUUACUAUAGCUUGACACUGAACAUUGAGCCUUGAUGUGUAGGAUAGGUGGGAGGCUUUGAAGUGUGGACGCCAGUCUGCAUGGAGCCGACCUUGAAAUACCACCCUUUAAUGUUUGAUGUUCUAACGUUGGCCCGUUAUCCGGGUUGCGGACAGUGUCUGGUGGGUAGUUUGACUGGGGCGGUCUCCUCCUAAAGAGUAACGGAGGAGCACGAAGGUUGGCUAAUCCUGGUCGGACAUCAGGAGGUUAGUGCAAUGGCAUAAGCCAGCUUGACUGCGAGCGUGACGGCGCGAGCAGGUGCGAAAGCAGGUCAUAGUGAUCCGGUGGUUCUGAAUGGAAGGGCCAUCGCUCAACGGAUAAAAGGUACUCCGGGGAUAACAGGCUGAUACCGCCCAAGAGUUCAUAUCGACGGCGGUGUUUGGCACCUCGAUGUCGGCUCAUCACAUCCUGGGGCUGAAGUAGGUCCCAAGGGUAUGGCUGUUCGCCAUUUAAAGUGGUACGCGAGCUGGGUUUAGAACGUCGUGAGACAGUUCGGUCCCUAUCUGCCGUGGGCGCUGGAGAACUGAGGGGGGCUGCUCCUAGUACGAGAGGACCGGAGUGGACGCAUCACUGGUGUUCGGGUUGUCAUGCCAAUGGCACUGCCCGGUAGCUAAAUGCGGAAGAGAUAAGUGCUGAAAGCAUCUAAGCACGAAACUUGCCCCGAGAUGAGUUCUCCCUGACUCCCUGAGAGUCCUGAAGGAACGUUGAAGACGACGACGUUGAUAGGCCGGGUGUGUAAGCGCAGCGAUGCGUUGAGCUAACCGGUACUAAUGAACCGUGAGGCUUAACCU